GUUUCUGUAGUUGAAUAAUACAACAGUGGUUUUUCAGACCACUGGUCUUGGGUGCCGCCAAGCAGAAACU
Molecule: transfer RNA, 70 nt
Filed under: Rhinopomastus cyanomelas (common scimitar-bill)
Lineage: Eukaryota; Metazoa; Chordata; Aves; Bucerotiformes; Rhinopomastidae
Description: tRNA-Glu
Source: RNAcentral